AGCUCCAAUAGCGUAUAUUAAAAUUGCUGCAGUUAAAAAGCUCGUAGUUGGAUUUCUGGCGUGGUGCGCCAAGCCCGCCGUCGUUUAGGCGGUGAGCGCUUUGUGUGCGCCUGUCAUCCUUCCGGAGAGCGUAGCCUACCCUUAACUGGGCCGGGUUGCGCGAUCUGGAUCGUUUACUUUGAAAAAAUUAGAGUGUUUAAAGCAGGCGUUUGCUAUGAAUACAUUAGCAUGGAAUAAUAAGAUAGGACUUUUCUAUUU
Molecule: ribosomal RNA, 258 nt
Filed under: uncultured fungus
Lineage: Eukaryota; Fungi
Description: partial small subunit ribosomal RNA
Rfam family: Eukaryotic small subunit ribosomal RNA
Source: RNAcentral